AGAAUCAACGCUGGCGGCGUGCCUAACACAUGCAAGUCGAACGAGAAAGUGGGUAGCAAUACCAUGAGUAAAGUGGCGCACGGGUGAGUAACACGUGACUAACCUACCCUUGAGUGGGGGAUAACUGAGGGAAACCUUAGCUAAUACCGCAUAAUACCCACGGGUCAAAGGAGCAAUUCGCUCGAGGAGGGGGUCGCGGCCGAUUAGUUAGUUGGCAGGGUAAUGGCCUACCAAGACGAUGAUCGGUA
RNAcentral lists this ribosomal RNA (248 nucleotides) under uncultured bacterium. RNAcentral's name for it is "partial small subunit ribosomal RNA". It matches the Rfam family "Bacterial small subunit ribosomal RNA", at positions 26 to 285 of the family's 1533-position model. The record is from RNAcentral.